Non-coding RNA from Acanthosepion pharaonis, 81 nucleotides. Lineage: Eukaryota; Metazoa; Mollusca; Cephalopoda; Sepiida; Sepiidae. The record is from the annotation of a GenBank genome assembly.
GACGUUGAAACACCGGUUCUCAUACGAUCACGGAAGUUAAGCAACGUCGAGCCUUGUCAGUACGUAGAUGAGUGACCAGGU